This 458-nucleotide ribosomal RNA is filed under the name uncultured bacterium. Its description in RNAcentral is "partial 16S ribosomal RNA". It matches the Rfam family "Bacterial small subunit ribosomal RNA", at positions 338 to 795 of the family's 1533-position model. The record is from RNAcentral.
CCUACGGGAGGCAGCAGUGAGGAAUAUUGGUCAAUGGGCGAGAGCCUGAACCAGCCAAGUCGCGUGAGUGAGUACUGCCCUAUGGGUUGUAAACCUCUUUUGUCGGGGAGCAAAAGCCGGACGUGUCCGGCUGUGAGAGUACCCGAAGAAAACGCAUCGGCUAACUCCGUGCCAGCAGCCGCGGUAAUACGGAGGAUGCGAGCGUUAUCCGGAUUUAUUGGGGUUAAAGGGUGCGCAGGCGGAUUUUUAAGUCAGCGGUCAAAUCGUGGGGCUCAACCCCAUCCAGCCGUUGAAACUGGGGAUCUAGAGUGUGCGAGAGGUAUGCGGAAUGCGUGGUGUAGCGGUGAAAUGCAUAGAUAUCACGCAGAACCCCGAUUGCGAAGGCAGCAUACCGGUGCACAACUGACGCUCAGGCACGAAAGCGUGGGUAUCGAACAGGAUUAGAUACCCUAGUAGUC